This 254-nucleotide ribosomal RNA is filed under the name Cladophora lehmanniana. RNAcentral describes it as "partial 28S ribosomal RNA". The record is from RNAcentral. Lineage: Eukaryota; Viridiplantae; Chlorophyta; Ulvophyceae; Cladophorales; Cladophoraceae.
GAUGAAAAGACCGCUGGCAAGCGAGUGAAAGAGUGCAUGAAAUUGUAUAGUGGGAAGGGAUGGCCUGGCGUGCUGCCCGCGGGUAUACACUGCUCUUCGAGCUCUUGAAUACACCGUGGGCUGGUUGGUGCCGACACCUGCGCUUGCAAAUCCCCAAACUAAGGUGUUUGGUUCUUCAAGCGCGGGUGUUGAGGUUGAUCGUCGCUUUGUUUUAAACUGCGUCGACAUAGCACCAGCUGAAGCUUGUCCAUCUA